AGUCGGUCCUUUUAUCGACGAGGCUACACACGUACUACAAUGCGGUACAAAGGGCAGCCACUUAGCGAUAAGGAGCCAAUCCCGUAAACGCGGUCUCAGUCCGGAUUGGAGUCUGCAACUCGACUCCAUGAAGUUGGAAUCGCUAGUAAUCGCAGAUCAGCACGCUGCGGUGAAUACGUUCCCGGGCCUU
RNAcentral lists this ribosomal RNA (190 nucleotides) under uncultured Desulfocapsa sp. RNAcentral's name for it is "partial 16S ribosomal RNA". It matches the Rfam family "Bacterial small subunit ribosomal RNA", at positions 1191 to 1382 of the family's 1533-position model. The record is from RNAcentral. Lineage: Bacteria; Pseudomonadati; Thermodesulfobacteriota; Desulfobulbia; Desulfobulbales; Desulfocapsaceae.